RNAcentral lists this long non-coding RNA (1000 nucleotides) under Fukomys damarensis (Damara mole-rat). Its description in RNAcentral is "lncRNA (ENSFDAG00000022245.1)". Lineage: Eukaryota; Metazoa; Chordata; Mammalia; Rodentia; Bathyergidae. The record is from RNAcentral.
ACUCGAGCUGCAGAAAUUAACAUUGCCGGGUGACAGAUCAUGUGUGUGUGACUGAAGCUCCUCAGCGUCCGGGGAGAAGGGCAGAGUCCACCUGGGGAAGGAAACGCCAUCGUUGGUGCUUUUCAGUUAAUGAAGAGAGUACGUCCAAGCAGGUCUGCUCAGGCAAAAAUAGGGCACUAGGAAGCUAAAUUGCUUUGCUGAGAGGGGAAGAAAUGCAUUUUUUUCAAAUUGGGCAGAUGUCAGAGUAAGGUUACAGGAUCGAACAGCAAGUCCGUGCACAACGGAACAGCUAACUACUCCCUAGGAAGAGACAGAGACAACUAUUUCCACGAGAGCCAGGUUUCCCGGUUUCUGAGUAACUGGAGUUUCUGGUUAGCAUGAACGUGGUCUCAAGUUCGGUGUUGGAAAAGUAAGCUCCUUUGUAUGGGUUUUUGAUGUGUUCCUAAAAUUUGCAAGUCUAGUCUCCUGGGCGAGGUCAGGAAGGUCUGGCACUGGAUCCUCUCUGGCCUCAGGACUCCCUUGGAAGUACCAACAGCAGGAUCUCCCCUCCAGGCUGAGAUCGUUUCCUCCUCCAAACCGGUCCUGUUCCUGCUUGUCCACGAUCAGCCUGGGAAAGAGGCUCUUCUCCGUAGUCUUCGGGGGAUUAUGCUUUUGCAUUUGUAGCUUCAUGGGGAAAAAGGAAGAUUCUUCUCAGAAUGAAGGAGGGAGAAGGAAGAAAGAGCAUGCAUUGGAGUAAAAAAGACAGUUGGAUGAAAUUUCUUUUGAGUGGAAUACGAGGGAGGGGUUGAAGGAAACCUUCAUCAAUCCUACUCACAUCUCGGUGUUCUCGGUCCCACUGGACUCCUUUCAGAAACUGGUGAAGGGGCUGAAUUCUGAGUGCAGGUCACAUAGAGGUUGAAAAAGAAUUAACUUAGGAACACAGAUUGUUUUACAUUUCUUUUAAUGCUAAAAUUAGGUUUUAAUUGAAAAAUUUAUGCUGUACUUUUGGUAUCAAUUAAAG